UACGAAGGGUGCAAGCGUUACUCGGAAUUACUGGGCGUAAAGCGUGCGUAGGUGGUUUGUUAAGUCUGAUGUGAAAGCCCUGGGCUCAACCUGGGAAUGGCAUUGGAUACUGGCAGUCUAGAGUGCGGUAGAGGAUGGUGGAAUUCCCGGUGUAGCGGUGAAAUGCGUAGAGAUCGGGAGGAACACCCGUGGCGAAGGCGGCCAUCUGGACCAGCACUGACGCUGAGGCGCGAAAGCGUGGGGAGCAAACAGG
Molecule: ribosomal RNA, 253 nt
Filed under: uncultured bacterium
Lineage: Bacteria
Description: partial 16S ribosomal RNA
Rfam family: Bacterial small subunit ribosomal RNA
Source: RNAcentral